CAGAAACUCUUCAUCGCAUGAUGGAGCGAUAUCUUCUCCCUCCGGCCCCAUGCCGGUUGUGAUUCAUCGGAACAUUAUCAUCAUGUGGAUACUUCGGCAUCAUUCGGAUCGUCAUCAUUCGGAUCGUCAUCAUUACGGAAUUAUUACGGAACCAUUACGGAUACUACGGAAAACGGAAAAGAAAACGGAAAAGAAAACGGAAAAAUAUCACAGUUCAAUCACCCCAGCCCCAGAAAUACUACGGAAACAAGACGGUAAAGAGCUGCUGAGCAGCCGCUAGUGCAGAAGAUUUCGCAAUUGACUAAACAGCAAAGAGCCAUAAAAGCCUGCAGCCCCGUGAGCUACAGAGCCAAAGCGCCACCGACCGACCCCGCCUCGAGCUCGUGUCUCGACGCACCUUGAGAGAAGAUUGAGCCCGUGCCUCGUCUUCAGAGCCCGUGUCUCGCAAUAAUUCCAGUAUGAGCCCGUGUUCUCAUAUCGAGCCCGUGUUCUCGACUUUGGAUUCCUGUGAUGAGCCCGUGUUCUCAUAUUCGAGCCCGUGAUCUCGACUCUUUCCUAUGAGCCCGUGUUCUCAUGGCGAGCCCGUGUUCUCGCAUCGUCCCUAGUGAGCUCGUGUUCUCACUUCGAGCUCGUGUUCUCGAAUUUGUCCGCUAGAUGAGCUCGUGUUCUCAUCGCGAGCCCGUGUUCUCGCCUUCUACAGUAUGAGCCCGUGAUCUCAUAUCAAGCUCGUGUUCUUGACUUUGACGAGCUCGUGUCUCGUCUCGAGCCCGUGUUCUCGAAGUAUGGAGUGGACCGGACGGAAAGUUGAUGGAUUAAGUUGGAUACGCGCAGUGCAACCUGAUCCUUUGGAUCAUGGUGAAGAUGGAACCGCAACCGAGGCCGCCGAAAGAGCCAGAGCAAAAGUUAGUGCCGAUGACCCUUGGAGCAAGACCCGUGGAAAUUUCACAGAGGGAUUAUAAGAGCCGUUGCCUGUCGGAUUACAUAGUAUUUUGGAGGACGUAGGCUGGAACGCCGAACCUCCGGGGCUAAUACGAUUGGACUAUUCAGUCCCAUCCCCAU
This 1059-nucleotide unclassified non-coding RNA is filed under the name Yarrowia lipolytica. The record is from RNAcentral. Lineage: Eukaryota; Fungi; Ascomycota; Dipodascomycetes; Dipodascales.